This 448-nucleotide unclassified non-coding RNA is filed under the name Hevea brasiliensis (rubber tree). The record is from RNAcentral. Lineage: Eukaryota; Viridiplantae; Streptophyta; Magnoliopsida; Malpighiales; Euphorbiaceae.
AAUGUUGUGCUUUUUCUGUCCGAAAUUAUGGGAAUGUACUUUGUCUCGUCUAUUCUUUUAAUAAGGAAAAGCUUAGCAAAUGAAUACAGGAUGAUCAUAACAGAUGUAUUGGGAGGAGAUAUUCAGUUUGAUUUCUAUCACCGGUGGUUUGAUGCCAUCUUCGUAGCAAGUGCUUUCCUUUCUCUGCUUUUGCUUUCUGCACAUUAUACAUCACGACAAUCUGACAAACACCCAGUUGAUUGAUAUACUCAUCGUGCAAGUAUCAGUCAAUGAAAUAUCUUAGUUCUUGAUCAAUUGAAGCAGCUGUAAAAAAUUUCCCAAAUUUGAAUCAUCACAUGACCAGUUCUUAAGCCUUUAAUCAAUAUGACAGUACAGAUAAAAAAAAUUACUGAAAAUGCAGUGAAAAGCUUAUGAAUAAAUGGAAUCGAGUAUUUGAGUAACACAUCAU